Molecule: ribosomal RNA, 366 nt
Filed under: Triticum aestivum (bread wheat)
Lineage: Eukaryota; Viridiplantae; Streptophyta; Magnoliopsida; Poales; Poaceae
Description: partial small subunit ribosomal RNA
Source: RNAcentral
AUGCUUGCCCGAAGACCGACUGUACAAGGUUGUAUCGAUCUAUCUAUAUACAACCAUGCCUCUUUCAGUUUUAUAUCUGUGCGAAGCCAGAUCCAGAAUGAGUCGAUAGAGUUGGGAUUAGCGAUACAACAUCUGGGGGCUAUGCUUUUUGAGCUUGGACGGACAAUGAUGACGCUUAGAAUGGGGCCAUCUCCUGCUAAUGCUUUUGUAAGUGCUGGGCAUGCUGUUUAUACAAACCCCACUGGACCAAGUCCAAUCAUGGUUCAGGCUACCUGUAUAGCUUUGCUUUCCUAUCAUGAACUGCUGACAACUUUGUUUUGGGCUAUCAUGCUAGCAUGCAUUGUAACAUAUAUCACUAUGUAUUAA